RNAcentral lists this long non-coding RNA (216 nucleotides) under Rattus norvegicus (Norway rat). RNAcentral's name for it is "long non-coding RNA NONRATT004168". Lineage: Eukaryota; Metazoa; Chordata; Mammalia; Rodentia; Muridae. The record is from RNAcentral.
UCUCAUUCAAAUCUUUACACUUAACGAUUUGGGCAUCUUCAGAAAAAGCUGGUUGGCCAGAACAGCAGAAAGCAGAGCUCUGGAUUCAGAAGGGGACCCUGCCUCGAUACACAAAGGGAAGAGCCAUCGAAGAAUGGACCCAUUAUCAGUCUCUGUCCUCUCUCUACACCCCCACAUGCUCCCCCACACAUUAAAAAAAAAAGAACGUAAAAUGAA